RNAcentral lists this ribosomal RNA (585 nucleotides) under Flavobacteriales bacterium symbiont of Crypticerya sp. Its description in RNAcentral is "bacterial SSU rRNA". It matches the Rfam family "Bacterial small subunit ribosomal RNA", at positions 369 to 950 of the family's 1533-position model. Lineage: Bacteria; Pseudomonadati; Bacteroidota; Flavobacteriia; Flavobacteriales. The record is from RNAcentral.
CAAUGGAGGAAACUCUGAACCAGCCACUCCGCGUGCAGGACGACGGCCUUCUGGGUUGUAAACUGCUUUUGUAUAGAAAUAAAAUUUCUUACUAGUAAGAACUUGAAGGUACUAUACGAAUAAGUGUCGGCUAACUCCGUGCCAGCAGCCGCGGUAAUACGGAGGACACAAGCGUUAUCCGGAUUUAUUGGGUUUAAAGGGUGCGUAGGCGGUUUGUUAAGUCAGUAGUGAAAUCUUACAGCUCAACUGUAAAAUUGCUAUUGAUACUAGCAGCCUAGAGUAAGAUUGGAGCAAUUGGAAUGUGUGGUGUAGCGGUGAAAUGCAUAGAUAUCACACAGAACACCGAUCGCGAAGGCAGAUUGCUAAGUCUUUACUGACGCUGAGGCACGAAAGCGUGGGUAGCAAACAGGAUUAGAUACCCUGGUAGUCCACGCUGUAAACGAUGAUCACUAGCUGUUGGAUUGUUUUUUUUAUUCAGUGGCCAAUCGAAAGAGGUAAGUGAUCCACCUGGGGAGUACGAUCGCAAGAUUGAAACUCAAAGGAAUUGACGGGGGUCCGCACAAGCGGUGGAGCACGUGGUUUAAU